UGCCAGCAGCCGCGGUAAUACGUAGGGGGCGAGCGUUAUCCGGAAUCAUUGGGCGUAAAGGGUGUGUAGGCGGUUUGUUAAGCGAGAGGUGAAAGGCUAUGGCUCAACCAUAGUAAGCCUUUCGAACUGGCGAACUUGAGUGCAGGAGAGGAGAGCGGAAUUCCUAGUGUAGCGGUGAAAUGCGUAGAUAUUAGUAGGAAUGCCGAUGGGGAAGCCAGCCCACUGGACAGAUACUGACGCUAAAGCGCGAAAGCGUGGGUAGCAAACAGGAUUAGAUA
This 278-nucleotide ribosomal RNA is filed under the name uncultured bacterium. RNAcentral describes it as "partial 16S ribosomal RNA". It matches the Rfam family "Bacterial small subunit ribosomal RNA", at positions 506 to 784 of the family's 1533-position model. The record is from RNAcentral.